CUAAAAGGCUUAUGCUGAUUCCUAUACUACAUGUCAAUAUACAUAGAGAGAAGUAACAACAGAUUAGAAGACUAAGAACAGCAAGUUUGAAGACUUCCAAACCAGUACAAGAAUAGAAACAGCAAGUUAGACUAUUCACAUACAUCCAGGAAAAUUUUUAUUUCGAUCUGAUCCACUAUGGACUUAACGUAAAUAUGUAAAUUCAUGUAUUUAAUAGGUAAUCUCGCUAUAUAUUAUUUUAAAUCUAUGAUGAUAAAUCAGGUUCAGAUAAGAAAAAUUUCAUAUACCUAACUAGUUGAACUAAGUUUUGAAUGCUACAAUACUUUAUUCAAUGGCUUGUGAGAUUAAUUAAUUAAUUG
Molecule: unclassified non-coding RNA, 359 nt
Filed under: Hevea brasiliensis (rubber tree)
Lineage: Eukaryota; Viridiplantae; Streptophyta; Magnoliopsida; Malpighiales; Euphorbiaceae
Source: RNAcentral